RNAcentral lists this ribosomal RNA (403 nucleotides) under uncultured bacterium. Its description in RNAcentral is "bacterial SSU rRNA". It matches the Rfam family "Bacterial small subunit ribosomal RNA", at positions 355 to 774 of the family's 1533-position model. The record is from RNAcentral.
UAGGGAAUAUUGCAAAAUGGGCGAAAGCCCGAUGCAGCAACGCCGCGUGGGCGAUGAAGGCCUUCGGGUCGUAAAGCCCUUUUUGAGGGGAUGAGGAAGGACAGUACCCUCAGAAUAAGCCUCGGCUAACUACGUGCCAGCAGCCGCGGUAAAACGUAGGAGGCGAGCGUUAUCCGGAUUUACUGGGCGUAAAGCGCGUGCAGGCGGAUUGGAGAGUUGGAUGUGAAAGCUCCCGGCUUAACUGGGAGAGGUCGUUCAAUACUUCCAGUCUUGAGUGCAGUAGAGGGAAGUGGAACUCCGGGUGUAGUGGUGAAAUGCGUAGAUAUCCGGAGGAACACCAGUGGCGAAAGCGGCUUCCUGGACUGUAACUGACGCUCAGACGCGAAAGCUAGGGUAGCAAACG